GCCUUAUGGAUGGGUUGUGACUGCUUGACACAGCUUUACAGUUUCUCCCCUGACUGCUGUGCUUUCAUACCUCAUUAUUCAUGUUUAUUCUGAGGCCAAAUUUAAAAACUUAUGUAUGAGACAGUGUAAGAUGGACUUUUUUAUAUGUUCUUAUCAUGUAUCUACAGCCCAAGCUGCUCUUUCCUUUGGGACUUCAGUGAUCUGGGGCCUAAGAGAACAUCGUAAAAGCUCCCCAGCUUUCAGCAUCCUGGAUGCCAACUCUUUU
Molecule: long non-coding RNA, 265 nt
Filed under: Numida meleagris (helmeted guineafowl)
Lineage: Eukaryota; Metazoa; Chordata; Aves; Galliformes; Numididae
Description: lncRNA (ENSNMEG00000000672.1)
Source: RNAcentral